Pipistrellus kuhlii (Kuhl's pipistrelle) is the source of this 278-nucleotide long non-coding RNA. RefSeq lists it as uncharacterized. The record is from RefSeq and is a predicted model, not a curated record. Lineage: Eukaryota; Metazoa; Chordata; Mammalia; Chiroptera; Vespertilionidae. The transcript is spliced from 3 exons.
UUUAGGGUUAGAGUAAUGCCAUCUAUAAAGAUGGUAUGUACUUUGUCAUCAGAAUAAGCAAGAAAUCUUCCCACAUUGGGUAUGAAUGAUUCUUUCAAAAGCAAAGGCAGCAUAUUCUCAUUUAUCCCAGAUACCAUUUUCCAGCAGCAUAUACGAUAGUUAUGGCUUAAAGAGAGCCUCAUCUUGGCGCAGUGGUGAAGAAUCCUUUAUUUCUCGAAUUUGUAGCAAUGAAAUGACUCCAAAUAGAAUUUUCAGUUGCUCUUUUUUAUGAGGUGAUA